This 801-nucleotide ribosomal RNA is filed under the name Salmonella enterica subsp. enterica serovar Paratyphi B var. L(+) tartrate +. Its description in RNAcentral is "partial 23S ribosomal RNA". It matches the Rfam family "Bacterial large subunit ribosomal RNA", at positions 419 to 1218 of the family's 2925-position model. Lineage: Bacteria; Pseudomonadati; Pseudomonadota; Gammaproteobacteria; Enterobacterales; Enterobacteriaceae. The record is from RNAcentral.
GGGACACGUGGUAUCCUGUCUGAAUAUGGGGGGACCAUCCUCCAAGGCUAAAUACUCCUGACUGACCGAUAGUGAACCAGUACCGUGAGGGAAAGGCGAAAAGAACCCCGGCGAGGGGAGUGAAAAAGAACCUGAAACCGUGUACGUACAAGCAGUGGGAGCACAGGUUUACCUGUGUGACUGCGUACCUUUUGUAUAAUGGGUCAGCGACUUAUAUUCUGUAGCAAGGUUAACCGUAUAGGGGAGCCGGAGGGAAACCGAGUCUUAAUUGGGCGUUAAGUUGCAGGGUAUAGACCCGAAACCCGGUGAUCUAGCCAUGGGCAGGUUGAAGGUUGGGUAACACUAACUGGAGGACCGAACCGACUAAUGUUGAAAAAUUAGCGGAUGACCUGUGGCUGGGGGUGAAAGGCCAAUCAAACCGGGAGAUAGCUGGUUCUCCCCGAAAGCUAUUUAGGUAGCGCCUCGUGAAUUCAUCUCCGGGGGUAGAGCACUGUUUCGGCUAGGGGGCCAUCCCGGCUUACCAACCCGAUGCAAACUGCGAAUACCGGAGAAUGUUAUCACGGGAGACACACGGCGGGUGCUAACGUCCGUCGUGAAGAGGGAAACAACCCAGACCGCCAGCUAAGGUCCCAAAGUCAUGGUUAAGUGGGAAACGAUGUGGGAAGGCCCAGACAGCCAGGAUGUUGGCUUAGAAGCAGCCAUCAUUUAAAGAAAGCGUAAUAGCUCACUGGUCGAGUCGGCCUGCGCGGAAGAUGUAACGGGGCUAAACCAUGCACCGAAGCUGCGGCAGCGAACGUAUCA